UGGAGGAAAGCAGGGGAUCGAAAGACCUUAUGCUUUUGGAGCGGCCGAUGUCUGAUUAGCUAGUUGGUAAGGUAAUGGCUUACCAAGGCAACGAUCAGUAGUUGGUCUGAGAGGACGACCAGCCACACUGGGACUGAGACACGGCCCAGACUCCUACGGGAGGCAGCAGUGGGGAAUUUUGGACAAUGGGCGCAAGCCUGAUCCAGCAAUGCCGCGUGAGUGAAGAAGGCCUUCGGGUUGUAAAGCUCUUUCAGUUGAGAAGAAAAGAUUGUGACUAAUAAUUGCAAUUCAUGACGGUAUCAACAGAAGAAGCACCGGCUAACUACGUGCCAGCAGCCGCGGUAAUACGUAGGGUGCGAGCGUUAAUCGGAAUUACUGGGCGUAAAGGGUGCGCAGGCGGUUCUGUAAGUCAGAUGUGAAAUCCCCGGGCUUAACCUGGGAAUUGCGUUUGAAACUACAAAGCUAGA
This 467-nucleotide ribosomal RNA is filed under the name uncultured Nitrosomonas sp. Its description in RNAcentral is "bacterial SSU rRNA". It matches the Rfam family "Bacterial small subunit ribosomal RNA", at positions 197 to 645 of the family's 1533-position model. Lineage: Bacteria; Pseudomonadati; Pseudomonadota; Betaproteobacteria; Nitrosomonadales; Nitrosomonadaceae. The record is from RNAcentral.